CCUACGGGAGGCAGCAGUGGGGAAUAUUGGGCAAUGGGCGCAAGCCUGACCCAGCAACGCCGCGUGAAGGAAGAAGGCUUUCGGGUUGUAAACUUCUUUUAAGAGGGAAGAGUAGAAGACGGUACCUCUUGAAUAAGCCACGGCUAACUACGUGCCAGCAGCCGCGGUAAUACGUAGGUGGCAAGCGUUGUCCGGAUUUACUGGGUGUAAAGGGCGUGUAGCCGGGCCGGCAAGUCAGAUGUGAAAUCCCAAGGCUCAACCUUGGAACUGCAUUUGAAACUGUUGGUCUUGAGUAUCGGAGAGGCAGGCGGAAUUCCUAGUGUAGCGGUGAAAUGCGUAGAUAUUAGGAGGAACACCAGUGGCGAAGGCGGCCUGCUGGACGACAACUGACGGUGAGGCGCGAAAGCGUGGGGAGCAAACAGGAUUAGAUACCCUUGUAGUC
Molecule: ribosomal RNA, 442 nt
Filed under: uncultured bacterium
Lineage: Bacteria
Description: partial 16S ribosomal RNA
Rfam family: Bacterial small subunit ribosomal RNA
Source: RNAcentral